GCACUUUGCUGGUUUCAAACAGCCAGGAGCUGGAUGUUGGAGGAGGGCCAGGUUUGAGCCUGCCCUACGGAGGAACUUGCAGAUUCAGAGCCACGUUCAAACGGGGACAGUGGUACUCCAGAGAGGAAGGGAGAGGGAUAGAGAGAUAGAAACAUCAAUGAUGAGAGAGAAGCAUUGAUCAGCUGCUUCCUGCACCCCCCACACUGGGGAUCGAGCCCACAACCCGGGCAUGCGCCAGUUGGGCGGAACCGAACCUUCAGUCUGCAGGCCGACACUCUUAUUCACCGAGCCAAACUGGCUAGGGCUUCUCUACAAGGAUUUUAAAGCCCACAUCAGAAUCAAGCAAGUCAGGUACUUUAUCUUUUUCAAGCCUUCCAUGCAGUGAGGUUCUGAAGUGGGUCCGGGAAACCACAGAGAAGGAGCAUUCUGGAUUGAUAAGUUUCUGUGCCAUCAACGUUGCUGUGACCACAGAGGGGACCCGUAUCCACCCAAUGCCGUAGAGCCUUUGGUGAGGCCACGAGGCUUGCCUGAAGGCCGUUAGGGAAUAACAACACUUCAGUCCUGGCCAGGUCCCUUCCUUUCCCUUCCCACCCAGUCCCCCCACCAGCCCUGGUGGGUACACCAAGGAAAACAGACUCAGAAUAAAGCCAACAACUUUUAUUAUCUUUCAAGUGUUUUCUAGAAAUAAAAACGGGAAUGUAGCAAACGGGUCAGGGUUGUACAAAAAAAAAAGCAGGUUUGUACACGUGGCUCUAUUUACAACCGGAUCUGGC
Long non-coding RNA from Eptesicus fuscus (big brown bat), 773 nucleotides. RefSeq lists it as uncharacterized. The record is from RefSeq and is a predicted model, not a curated record. NCBI's taxonomy places the organism in Eukaryota, Metazoa, Chordata, Mammalia, Chiroptera, Vespertilionidae. The transcript is spliced from 2 exons.